This 245-nucleotide non-coding RNA is filed under the name Apilactobacillus kunkeei. RNAcentral's name for it is "T-box". It matches the Rfam family "T-box leader". Rfam says of the family: Uncharged tRNA acts as the effector for transcription antitermination of genes in the T-box leader family. T-boxes are found upstream of many aminoacyl-tRNA synthetase genes and some amino acid biosynthetic genes usually in Gram-positive bacteria. The record is from RNAcentral. Lineage: Bacteria; Bacillati; Bacillota; Bacilli; Lactobacillales; Lactobacillaceae.
AAAUAGAUAUUGAGCAGAUAAGUAAGUUUUUUCAAACGAUUACAGAGAGCUUUGAUUAUGCUGAGACGAAGCACGCAAGGAAACUGAAAAUGGUCUAGGAAUUAUCUAUCAUCGUAAGUCUUUGACAAACGAUGUUCGGGUACGCCCGUUAUCGCGUAAAAGUAUUUCUUACGAAGUACUUAUUGAGUGUAAUGCAGCGAUGUAUUACAAAAUCAGGGUGGUAACACGAAGAUUUCGUCCCGUAG